Molecule: ribosomal RNA, 253 nt
Filed under: uncultured bacterium
Lineage: Bacteria
Description: partial 16S ribosomal RNA
Rfam family: Bacterial small subunit ribosomal RNA
Source: RNAcentral
UACGUAGGGUGCAAGCGUUGUCCGGAAUCAUUGGGCGUAAAGCGCGUGUAGGCGGUCCGGUAAGUCCGCUGUGAAAGUCGAGGGCUCAACCCUCGAAUGCCGGUGGAUACUGUCGGGCUUGAGUACGGGAGAGGCGAGUGGAAUUCCUGGUGUAGCGGUGAAAUGCGCAGAUAUCAGGAGGAACACCGAUUGCGAAGGCAGCUCGCUGGGACGUUACUGACGCUGAGACGCGAAAGCGUGGGGAGCAAACAGG